GAUGCGGGUGCUAUACAUGCAGUCGAGCGAGCCGAACUAAUUGAUUACCUUCGGGUAUGAAGUUAGGGAAGCGAGCGGCGGAUGGGUGAGUAACACGUGGGUAACCUACCCUAUAGUCUGGGAUACCACUUGGAAACAGGUGCUAAUACCGGAUAAAAGGAGAGAUCACAUGAUUUCUUUUUGAAAGGCGGCGUAAGCUGUCGCUAAAGGAUGGACCCGCGGUGCAUUAGCUAGUUGGUAAGGUAACGGCUUACCAAGGCAACGAUGCAUAGCCGAGUUGAGAGACUGAUCGGCCACAUUGGGACUGAGACACGGCCCAAACUCCUACGGGAGGCAGCAGUAGGGAAUCUUCCACAAUGGACGCAAGUCUGAUGGAGCAACGCCGCGUGAGUGAAGAAGGUUUUCGGAUCGUAAAGCUCUGUUGUUGGUGAAGAAAGAUAGUGAGAGUAACUGCUCAUUAUUUGCCGGUAAUCAACCAGAAAGUCACGGCUAACUACGUGCCAGCAGCCGCGGUAAUACGUAGGUGGCAAGCGUUGUCCGGAUUUAUUGGGCGUAAAGCGAGCGCAGGCGGAAAGAUAAGUCAGAUGUGAAAGCCCUCGGCUUAACCGAGGAAUAGCAUCGGAAACUGUCUUUCUUGAGUGCAGAAGAGGAGAGUGGAACUCCAUGUGUAGCGGUGGAAUGCGUAGAUAUAUGGAAGAACACCAGUGGCGAAGGCGGCUCUCUGGUCUGUAACUGAC
Molecule: ribosomal RNA, 737 nt
Filed under: uncultured bacterium
Lineage: Bacteria
Description: bacterial SSU rRNA
Rfam family: Bacterial small subunit ribosomal RNA
Source: RNAcentral